UCCUACGGGAGGCAGCAGUGGGGAAUAUUGCGCAAUGGGGGGAACCCUGACGCAGCCAUGCCGCGUGAAUGAAGAAGGCCUUCGGGUUGUAAAGUUCUUUCGGUAAUGAGGAAGGGAUGUUGUUAAAUAGAUAGCAUCAUUGACGUUAAUUACAGAAGAAGCACCGGCUAACUCCGUGCCAGCAGCCGCGGUAAUACGGAGGGUGCGAGCGUUAAUCGGAAUAACUGGGCGUAAAGGGCACGCAGGCGGACUUUUAAGUGAGAUGUGAAAUCCCCGAGCUUAACUUGGGAACUGCAUUUCAGACUGGGAGUCUAGAGUACUUUAGGGAGGGGUAGAAUUCCACGCGUAGCGGUGAAAUGCGUAGAGAUGUGGAGGAAUACCGAAGGCGAAGGCAGCCCCUUGGGAAUGUACUGACGCUCAUGUGCGAAAGCGUGGGGAGCAAACAGGAUUAGAUACCCUGGUAGUC
This 466-nucleotide ribosomal RNA is filed under the name uncultured bacterium. RNAcentral describes it as "bacterial SSU rRNA". It matches the Rfam family "Bacterial small subunit ribosomal RNA", at positions 337 to 795 of the family's 1533-position model. The record is from RNAcentral.